UUUUUUUUUCUUAAUCGUCGCUGUGUCACUCUCGUUGAAAUCGGACAUCCGCACGUGUCCACGAAGGACUUUCUCGUCCCAGGGUCCGGCUGUAGUGGGCCAGUGGAUUGGAAAUGUACGUACUGGAGGUCGUCACUCUAGUCGAUUUUUUCCUCCCUUCGAUCUCCAAAUAGCUGCCUUGUGAAAUUAAAAUGAAGGGAAGCCUGCUAGAAUUGAUUAAUGUGGCCACGCUGGGGCUUGCAUUCAUGCGGAGUAUAUUCGUGACCACUACGUUGGCUCCUACGUUCAAUGAACAUGUGCGAGUUUGAUUCGACGGGCGACGGUGACGUGAAGAUAAUGGCACUCAUCACCACUUGGGUUAAGAGUGUGCCAGAGCUACUACCAGGCAGCGGAGAUGAUCUAGGGCCAGGAGCAAGCACAGCUGGAAUUUUAAGGGCAAAGGACCUCGACGGCUCGCCAUCCGUGUGCCAAGAGGCUGGCACGUCAGCGGUUUCUGCUUGUACCAUGUACGUGUCGGUCAAGCAAAACUGUGGGCGGGGUACGUACGUCGACCAUGACGAUUCGCGUUGUCGUGAAACUUUUCUUAGCUCUGAAGGCGCCAAGCCUGGGCCUACAAAAUUAACAAAUUAAGGGAACGAGCUGAAAAGGCGGGACCAUGCAUCUUUGGGCUUUGGAUCGAUGGCGACGCGACCUCGCGUCCUAGUAGUUCAUUGUAUCAGACCGUAACUCUAUUUCCCCCCUCAACUCUAUCUGUGAGCAUGAACUGAAAUGAACGGGCAAAGGCAAACGACAGACCGUCCUCUCGUCAGCUAACAGGGUGGUGCAUGAACUUGGUGCUAUGGGUACAAAGGAGUUUGUGUACCGCUGUGUUGAUGGACAGGACCAGACCACGUACUGGAAUUGGUUUGUCGCAUUGUGUGUGUGUGUGUGUUUUUUUAAGAAAACAAUCGGACUCCAGAGUUGAGAGAAGAAACGCCUUAAUUGAUUUCUACUGCAACAUGGAAUCCACCACGUGAACAUAAUAUUUUCUUCACUCUGUCAGUCUGUCGCUGACUGCUGGCGGCUGGUGCUGUGGCGCAUGUGCAGAUUGCACUAGAUAUGAUGUCCCAAUCAAAACGAUCAUUUCUUUUUUCCAGAUGCAGAUUGAUAAAUAAGUCGUGCCAGUAAUCUUCGACCUCUAGACGACGGCCAACGCACCCGGGCCACCAGAUUCUUGGCACGUAAGCAGAUUUGUCGAUGACGCCGAGUAAGGGGGCCCAAGCUGACAAGCGUGGCCACGGACAGGUUCUAGGACAAGACUUCGCCAGCAAGCAGCGCCCGGUUGUAGCAUCAAAAUACACGCUGGCUAAAUGCUGAGGUGUCGUCGCGUCAUUGUGACAUUGUCUGGCUGUGAAUCCUUGACAAAAAUCAGCGCGCCCGCAGAAGAAUAAAAACAGAAGCCAUUAAGAUCUAUUCCCUCCGUCUCAAAAUAAACGACGUAGAUUUGUAUAUCCACGUCACUUAUUUUGAACUCUGCACAGCCCGUGGCAGAAGCUUACUCGUGCUGAAAUACACACCACCACUCCCAACAUUACAAACCAAAAUUUCACCGCCAUUUCGACGCUCGCACUAGUGCUGCUGUAAAUUUGGCAGACUCCGCAAACUACGACAGAACCUCGUACGUUCAGUAAAAAAAUGCAUUUGGCAUUCCAUGAUCACACACACCCCCUUCCGUCCGGCCGGUUCAAGAACCGAACCUGCAUCAGUAGUUCAGUACUAAUAACAAUAACAGAGCCAUCAGGAAUUGGGAUAGGAAACUUUCCAAUUCUCGGUUGUUCUUUGGAUCUUCUUUUUACAGAAAGACAGGGGUUUUCCCCAUUCCCAUUUUAUUAGCUCGAGACCACAUCAUCCACAGUUCAGCACCUCAGAAAGUCAGAAGUAAAGCAAACAAACACACAGACCAGCAAAACAUAGCUCUAGACUACUGUAUUGCAAGACCAGCAAAAACAGCCGAAGCGGCAGAUACGAAGACUACAGCUUCAGGCAGUCGCCAGAACCAGUUUCUUUGGACCUUCUUCCCUCUUUCAGGCUUCAUCAACCCCCCGCCGGCACGACGCGGCUGCGACCGCCGCCGCCGCCGCCGCCGCCACCUGCGUUGGGGACGAAGCACCGGAAAAGGCUCGCGAAUAUGCUUGGCUUCACCUGCCCGCGCCUCGGCAGUGGUCGCCUCGCGUCGCCCUGCCGCUCCAUUGGUACGGGUGCUGCUGUUGGCGCCUUCUUGCGCAGGAAGCUAAGCUGAGGCUGGAGACAAGAUCGACCGUACGGGCGUACGGAGUAGUAUCAGUAUGUUCGUGCUUAUCCGCGAUGUGUGAGGAGUGAUUACAGGCUUUGCCUGUUUUAUUUGUAGCAGCAAACGCGCACUUGUGUGUGUGUGUGUGUGUGGUGGUGUGUGUGUGUGUGUGUGGGGUUGGGUUAAGAGUUUGAACUCUUUGAUGUUUGCACCUUUCCGGAGAUCGGUCUUCGAUCGGCAUCUUGGCACUUUCAACUUUUGUGUCUGAAACUUGGGACAGCACCGCACGCUAAUGCUAGUAUACUCCACUUCUACUGGUGUAUUAUCUUUCAGGUUGCAUGACAGUCAGUCAGACACUGCGACAUAGAGGGAAAGAUUUAUCUGACCAACGUAUAGCAGCACAGAUCACUGUAGCCGUUUUUUUUUGCUGUAGCAAUUAUUUUGUGCUCUAGCAAUUAAUCUAAAAAAUGGAUGUUCGAGAUUGUGUGCGGUCAAGUUUCAGGUCCGUUCAACAUGGCCCGCCUAGGUGCAGAACCUCCAGCCACACAUUGCUCCGUGGGCAGCAUCGUGCACCCAAACAAAUAAUUGGUUCUAUUCUGAGCACAACACUAGGGCCGCCUUAACAGUGAUCUUUGAUUUCUAGCUAAUGAUGGUCCGUGCCUCUAAGAAUUACUUCAACGUGCUCUCCCCUCUCCGCCUCUCCGGUGAGAUCAGCGCAAAAGCGCCGCACGCCACGAAGAGCACGACUUGCGGCUGGCGCCCAAGUCGCCGAUUAUUUUCCUCUACAUUUUUUAGCCGGGUUUGGCCAGUGGGACUAGAAAAGUGCCACCGCUUUCUCGGUUUCUGUUACUAGCAAUUUUGUUUACAGAUGAUGUAAACGGCCGGGGCCCCGUAGAACACCACCACCAGAUACAGCUUGCAGGAGAAGACUUGGCUGCGAAGCACCUCGAUCCGCCUAGCAUCACAUCAGUACUGUACAUGCAUGCUGAUGUGUCGUCGCCUCAUUUGGGGAGCAGGGCAAAUUGUGCGCUUGCGAGCAAAUCAGCGCCUGUCGGAGAGAACAAAAACUGCCCCAACCUCGCAGUCGCAGCCAAUUCUCAAGAACACGAGAAAGAAACACACGGCAGUGAUUUUGCACUUUCGCCAACGUCAACGUAGACAAUGUAGGAAUACCGUACAAGUAUCAGGAAGCAGAGAGCUUGUUCGAUGAUGAAUCGAUGUUUUUCUUCUUACUCUGCGAGCAAGGUGCAGAGAGCGAGUUUGCUCAAUCAACGUUACCAAAAUGUAAUACUCUGCGACCAAGAUGCAGAGAUCUUAUUCAAGUAAAGAAACCGGAGUACACAACAACACUACAGACCAGAAAUCCACCACCAAUUCACCCCCCCCCUAAAUAGCAACGAUAUCAAAUACCCAAAACUGACACUAAAUUGCUGCUAGACGGAACUACAGACUCCAGUUGCCGGCGGAACGUCCAACAAGUAGUAGUACUCCCCACCAGCGUACCCAACCCCCAAAGCAACCACCCUCAUUUUGUGUUCAAGAGAUCAGCUUUCGGCCCGACAAUCGGACCUGCAGCGAUCUCCACUGGAACCGGAGAAACCCCAAUUCUUGAUUCUUCUUCAGACUUCAGAUCUUCUUCCCUUCCCUCGGGCCGAGUUGGAUCAACCACCGGGCCCGACACGGCGACCGCCGCCGCUGCCGCCGCCGCCGCUUCCCUUGGGCUUGCCUUCCUUCCGCUCGCCUUGGGGCGCCGCCCUGGGGACGAAGCACCCGAAGAGGCUCGCGAAUAUGCUCGCCUUCACCUGCCCGCGCCUCGGCAACGGCCGCCUCGAGUCCGCCUGGCGCUCCAUUGUUCGCGGCGGCUGAGUGGCACCUUCUUGCUCAAGAAACUCUGCACCGCGGGAGAAACGCGAAGGCUGGAGACAGACAAGAGGGCAAGUCAAGUGUGCGAUGGGUCUGUGUUUGUGUUUGUGUUUGUGUGUGAGAUGGGAGAGGAGUGACACGAGGGCUUUGCCCUUUUAUGCAGCUCUGGGGAAGAGUGGGGGCCAAGCUUCCUUGGGGUGCAAGCAGAUCACUCUCCAUCAAAGUUUGAACUCUUCUAGAUUCUUUUGUGUAGCUCCCAUUUUUCGGUCUCUGAAACUUGGGAUUUUACUGUGCUGCUUAUGUUUCAGACUGCAUGACAGAUACCAGCUGGCAAGCUUUCUGGAUACGCUACCUUCGGAUAUGGAUACCAAAACACAACAGCCUGGUAAAACCGCUGUUAUCAGUUACUCCAGCCUCCAGCAAGCAAAGCCUGGCUAGAAAAACC
Molecule: long non-coding RNA, 4577 nt
Filed under: Brachypodium distachyon (stiff brome)
Lineage: Eukaryota; Viridiplantae; Streptophyta; Magnoliopsida; Poales; Poaceae
Description: long non-coding RNA (BDIS_LNC001357)
Source: RNAcentral